Molecule: ribosomal RNA, 681 nt
Filed under: Agromyces sp. YIM 48810
Lineage: Bacteria; Bacillati; Actinomycetota; Actinomycetes; Micrococcales; Microbacteriaceae
Description: bacterial SSU rRNA
Rfam family: Bacterial small subunit ribosomal RNA
Source: RNAcentral
AUGCAAGUCGAACGAUGAACUCCAGCUUGCUGGGGGGUUAGUGGCGAACGGGUGAGUAACACGUGAGUAACCUGCCCUGGACUCUGGGAUAACCCCGAGAAAUCGGAGCUAAUACCGGAUAGGACCCUGGACCGCAUGGUUUGGGGUGGAAAGUUUUUCGGUCUGGGAUGGACUCGCGGCCUAUCAGCUUGUUGGUGAGGUAAUGGCUCACCAAGGCGUCGACGGGUAGCCGGCCUGAGAGGGUGACCGGCCACACUGGGACUGAGACACGGCCCAGACUCCUACGGGAGGCAGCAGUGGGGAAUAUUGCACAAUGGGCGCAAGCCUGAUGCAGCAACGCCGCGUGAGGGAUGACGGCCUUCGGGUUGUAAACCUCUUUUAGUAAGGAAGAAGGGAAGCUUGCUUCUUGACGGUACUUGCAGAAAAAGGACCGGCUAACUACGUGCCAGCAGCCGCGGUAAUACGUAGGGUCCGAGCGUUGUCCGGAAUUAUUGGGCGUAAAGAGCUCGUAGGCGGUUUGUCGCGUCUGCUGUGAAAUCCCGAGGCUCAACCUCGGGCCUGCAGUGGGUACGGGCAGACUUGAGUGCGGUAGGGGAGAAUGGAAUUCCUGGUGUAGCGGUGGAAUGCGCAGAUAUCAGGAGGAACACCGAUGGCGAAGGCAGUUCUCUGGGCCGUAACUGA